UAUUAUCAAUCUUAGGUUCUAAGUUCUAUCAAAAUAUUGCUUAAAAAAAAUAUAUAAUUAAUAUUAUUACCACAUGAAACUCUUCUUUAGGUAAUCAAAGAUCUUUCGGUUUGUUGAAAGAAAAUCUUCUAGCAGACAUGUGAUGUGUGACACUCUUUAGAUUGAAGAGCCAAGAUAUUUCAUAUAAUGAGAUGAGCAAUUUGAUGUUUUUUGAAUUUUUCCAACUGAAUAGAUUAAAAUUACAAAAAUCGAAUGAGUGAAUAUUUCUAAAAUAAAAUAAAAAGAAAAGAAAAUGUUUUGAGAUCGUUCCUAUUUAUUAGAUUUUUAUUAUAUCACAUAUACAUAUAAAUCACAAAUGAGUUUUCCAUAGUUUGGGUUUAUAAAUAUUACACAUACAUAAAAACACACAAAUUAAUAAUAUUUUAUUAAUAAAAGAAUUUAAUGAUUUUUCAGUUUAUUUUAUUAAUUAUCUAACUUUACGACAAUUUUCAUAUAAGAUUUCAUUAUAUCAAUUAUUAGAAGAUGAAGUAAAUGAUUCUUAAUAGUUUUUUUUUUUUUUUUUUUUUUAUGAAUGUGAAAAUAUAUUCAAACCAAAAAAAGUUCCUUUGUACAUGAAAGCAUCCUUAUAUCAAAAGAUUUGAAUAAAAAGUUAAAAAACGUGUAAGCAAAAUAAGGCAGAGAGAAAGAGAAGAGUUUAGGUGCGAGCAGCCAGCCAAAGUUGGAGGCCAUCACCAAACUUUGUCGACUGGUCCUGCAUUGAGAGAAGCUUAUUCCGAA
This 777-nucleotide long non-coding RNA is filed under the name Capsella rubella. RNAcentral describes it as "long non-coding RNA (CRUB_LNC003174)". Lineage: Eukaryota; Viridiplantae; Streptophyta; Magnoliopsida; Brassicales; Brassicaceae. The record is from RNAcentral.